UAAUUGUAUGGGCCAAGAAAUACAUCAUUGACAACUUUCUUGAAUUUGCACAAGUGGCAGUGAUAAACCAGAACAUCAAAUAAAAAAAUCACUGCAGUCUAUUGCUGCCAGACUGAAAAGGGGCAAGAGAGAGAAAUGUCUGUUGAAAAGUAUUCUGAAAAUAUGAAGCACAACAUAAGGUUAACAGUUGGUUAAAGAGGGAACAAAAGGUACGGAUGUGGAGCCACAUACAGAGGAAUCAUUUGAAGAAACUGGACGG
RNAcentral lists this long non-coding RNA (259 nucleotides) under Homo sapiens (human). Its description in RNAcentral is "HSALNT0041223". Lineage: Eukaryota; Metazoa; Chordata; Mammalia; Primates; Hominidae. The record is from RNAcentral.